Non-coding RNA from Cucurbita pepo subsp. pepo (vegetable marrow), 1100 nucleotides. The record is from RefSeq and is a predicted model, not a curated record. Lineage: Eukaryota; Viridiplantae; Streptophyta; Magnoliopsida; Cucurbitales; Cucurbitaceae.
CAUUUUUUUUCUAAUUUUUUUUUUGCUUCUUUGCAUUUGAGGUCUCACUCGCUCCGUUCAAUCGUCGUGUCGGGUGAUCGGAGCUCCGCCAUGGGCGAAGCUUUAUUUGAACUUGAACAAGUUCUCAGGUCCAAACAGACUAAGCUAGGCACCGAGGCUAUUGCAGACCCUCUGGAUUGUAUUUUCGGUUCAUUGGCCAGAGAAGAAGAAAUCAUUUGAGUUAGAAAUGACGGAACUAAAAGUGUCUAGGUGGAAUUUCCUCCCAACAAUCCUCAACAUAGCACAUCAUGCAAAUCUCAGUCUCGUAGUAGAAGAUACCACUGUCAGCAUCGAAAGCUUUGAACGUGUGUAAUUCCAGGUUCAAUUCAUUCUAAGAAGAGAUUAAGCAAUCAUGAACCAUUUAUGUUUAUAACGUUCAUAUCCAUAGUGCAGUGUUGUCAUUUCCCUAGUACAAGAAAGAAAAAUGGUCUAUAAUCGUUUCCAUAUGGUUGUUUUAUGCUGCUUAUUCUUUGGUGAAUUAAUGGCCAAGGUACUCAAAGAAGCCACAGCCAUCCAUAGUGCACGGUCCAACAGAGCACUUACAGAGACGAUGACGAUGGUCAUGGCAGUAGCUUUGGUGGUUGUUGAGAAGGGACAGCGAAAUUUCGAGAACGCGGUAGUGGUUAAAGACCGCGUGGCAUGUUGAAAACCCUACACAAGCAAGACGGCUAGGAACACGCGUCAAGAGAGAUGCUUGUGAGGAGAUGCUUUUUGUAUAUAUUUACAGUAGAGGAGAUGCUUGUUGCUUUGUUAGUACCCAUCCAUUUUGAUCUUCAUACUGUGAGGUGAAAUUACUUGUUGGGUUCUACUGAGCAGUUGAAAGCAAAAGGAGUGAUUAAAAAAAGAAAUGGAAGCUUUAUCAAUUCGGGAAUCUGAAGCAUGAUUGCGGCCCUACCGCACGCAUAGUGCCGCAAUAGAUAUCAGACAAAACCCAUAAGCCCUACCUUUUUGUUUUUACCUUCUUGAUUCAAAGCCAAACCUUCAAUAGUACAACUUCUACAUGUGAUGAUUGUAGGCAUAAGAAUUUUUUUGUUCUCUAUUUUUCAAGAACACUUUUUUUU